AGCGGCAACUUUCUCGAGCAUUAAGCUGCAACAUUACAGAGCAACCCAGCUGAAUGUUUGGUGUUUUCUUGUGCAGGUACAAAGCACAUCACUGAGAUGCUGGGAUGCCCUCUGCCCUCAUCACCUUCAAAAACACGGUGACAUCAGCUGGAAUGUGAGGAAGACGAGGAGCAGCCUUUUAGUAAUCAAGUUCCGACUUCCAGUCUGAAGUGUCUCCUCAUGUCCUGUGACAGAUGGAUGUGGGCGUCCUGUGGCAACUCCUCACAAAGACCUCUCCAGUGAAGAGGACAAAGGGUGGAGGACACGAGUGCUCGGAGAGAGACGACUAUAUCAGCCCCCUGUGGCACUGUUUACGCACAUUAAUGGGCUAAUGACUAAGUACAGCUCCCUAUGCCUCAAGUUAAGUAAAUAUUUAGACACUCGACUGCCCUUUGUGGAUGCGUGUGACAGUGAGAGCCACACACAGGACAGAGACUCGACAGCGGUCGGUCGUGCCUUCACAGAAUAAACCACGGGCACAUGUUUACACGUUCGUGAAUCCCUGGAAGAAGAGUAACUCUUCCCGCUCCACCACUGCUCAGAUUUGCAUACUGCAGACGUCCUUUGUCGCCAGCCAUUGAUGGUGGCAGAUCUGCUGAAGCUUUCAUCGCCAUCUUCAUUCAUCGCUCACCCGGAAGCUACAGCGCUAUUAUGGAAAUUUCUUUUCUCUGUUUAUUUUCACACAAAACUUUAGAAAGAAAGAGAAAAACAAAUCUCUCCCAACUUCCCGCUUCACUUCGCCUCUUUGUCAGAGCUGGUAAUCGAAACCACCGUUUCCCACCAGUAAAAUAUUAUAAUGGGAUUCACACUCAAAAGGAUUCAUCUCAAAAGCCACAGUGUCGUUUCAUGCAAACAGCUGAUGUGUGUGGCGGGAUCAUGUGUGGAGCAGGAGAGAGAUUCUGUUAGGCCCAUGUGCUUAUCAUUACAGACAACCCGCGGAGAGGUAGAUCCCAAAAAGCACCAUCACAACCGUCUUCUUCAACUACAGGAAGAGCCUCCAACCAAACAGCAGCAGGAUGAUGGGAGGCUGCAAACACCUGAACUCACAUGGUGCUCUGGUUCUGUUGUUCUGCCUACUCCGGACCUGCUCCGUCCACAGAGUCGGGUACUGGGAAAUGAUAUCUGGAAGAAAACCAGCAGAAUCGUUUGAUUAAUUGGAAACACACCCAUCGGCAAAGCGGCCAAAUCCACAGAUGAAACAAGGUCCCUCAACUGGUGGUGGAAAAGUGACAGCUGAGAGCAGGAAUAUGGAACAGAAGUAGUCACGACUGCGGCUCUCUGCAAGCCAUCAAACGGGACAACCGAUGGAGUUGACAAACAAAAAAAGAUAAGACAACGUCUGGUGAGUCUGGAUUUGGCGGGACAGGACUUCAUGGAUGAACGUGUCCUUACAGGAGGUUCUAAUCUGGGCACCCAAACAAACCAGCAUGCAAAUCCCAUCACCUCCCCCCCGAAACUCUGAGGCUUUGUGGGCCUGAAUGAAGCGCGGCGAAGGCGAGACUCCAGCAGAGAGCACAUUGUAGGCUGAUAAGGGCCUUCUGGACUCGAAGGCCCCCACUUGCAGCACCUCGAGAGGCCCCUCACACCGCGGCCUUGCGGGGUCAACGGGGGCCCCGGCAGAGA
Long non-coding RNA from Synchiropus splendidus (mandarinfish), 1662 nucleotides. RefSeq lists it as uncharacterized. NCBI's taxonomy places the organism in Eukaryota, Metazoa, Chordata, Actinopteri, Syngnathiformes, Callionymidae. The record is from RefSeq and is a predicted model, not a curated record. The transcript has 6 exons.